Molecule: ribosomal RNA, 468 nt
Filed under: uncultured bacterium
Lineage: Bacteria
Description: partial 16S ribosomal RNA
Rfam family: Bacterial small subunit ribosomal RNA
Source: RNAcentral
GACGAACGCUGGCGGCGUGCUUAACACAUGCAAGUCGAACGGAAAGGCUCUGCUUUUGUUGGGUGCUCGAGUGGCGAACGGUUGAGUAACACGUGAGUAACCUGCCCUUGACUUUGGGAUAACUUCAGGAAACUGUGGCUAAUACCGGAUAGGAGCUCCUGCUGCAUGGUGGGGGUUGGAAAGUUUCGGCGGGUGGGGAUGGACUCGCGGCUUAUUAGCUUGUUGGUGGGGUAGUGGCUUACCAAGGCUUCGACGGGUAGCCGGCCUGAGAGGGUGACCGGCCACAGUGGGACUGAGAUACGGCCAAGAGUCAUUCGGGAGGAAGGAGUGGAGAAUAUUGCAAAAUGGGCGGAAGCCGGAUGCAGCAACGUCGGGUGCGGGAUCACGGCCUUAAGGUUGUAACCCGCUUUCGCCUGUGAAGUAGCGUGAGUGACGGUAAUGGGUAAAGAAGCGCCGGCUAACUACGUG